AGAGAAGCGCAAACGGUGGAUGCCUUGGCAGUAAGAGGCGAAGAAGGACGUGGAAUCCUGCGAAAAGCUAUGGGGAGCUGGAAACGAGCGUUGAGCCAUAGAUGUCCGAAUGGGGGAACCCGGCUGCAGCGAUGCGGUCAUUUGCAUUUGAAUACAUAGGAUGCAAAGGCGAACUCGGGGAACUGAAACAUCUAAGUACCCGAAGGAAAAGAAAUCAAGAGAGAUUCUCCAAGUAGCGGCGAGCGAACGGGGAGGAGCCUGGCGUGAUUUAUUAUUGAACUGAGUAGAACAAUUUGGGAAAGUUGGCGAUAGAGGGUGAAAGCCCCGUAUACGAAAGUUUGAUGAGGAACUAGGCACGCGAACAAGUAGGCCGGGACACGUGAAAUCCUGGUUGAAGAUGGGUGGACCAUCAUCCAAGGCUAAAUACUACUUACUGACCGAUAGUGAACCAGUACCGUGAGGGAAAGGUGAAAAGAACCCCGGAGAGGGGAGUGAAAUAGAAUCUGAAACCGUUUGCGUACAAGCAGUGGGAGCAUGGUUUAGGCUGUGUGACUGCGUACCUUUUGUAUAAUGGGUCAGCGAGUUACUUUCAGUGGCGAGGUUAACUGAAUAAGGGAGCCGUAGAGAAAUCGAGUCUGAAUAGGGCGAUAGUCGCUGGGAGUAG
Molecule: ribosomal RNA, 664 nt
Filed under: Legionella pneumophila
Lineage: Bacteria; Pseudomonadati; Pseudomonadota; Gammaproteobacteria; Legionellales; Legionellaceae
Description: partial 23S ribosomal RNA
Rfam family: Bacterial large subunit ribosomal RNA
Source: RNAcentral